UCAUCCAGAAACACCUUCACAGAUGCACCUAGAAGUCAUGUUUAAUUGGGACACCCUGUGUCCCAAUCAAGUUGACACACAAAAGUAACCAUCCUAGCUGCCACUUUUAUUUGACACGAGGCCCUGCAACUUAAUGUAGCCAUUUCUGGAAGAUGGUGAUUGGAGCAAAAGAACUUAAGAAUUCACCAUCUCUGGAGGUUAGAGCAACAUACUUGCCGUUGAGUUAACCUGCGGCAGAAUUCUCUUGGGCCAGUGAUUUUAUUGCUGUUGCAUUUCUCAUCAGCAACUCAACAGGUUUCUUGGCUGGCUGUCUCUUACCUUACCCUGUUUGUGCCAAGGGAAGAAAGACCACUUUUAAUGAUUUCUUGAAUUAAGCAGUUAGAGACUUAAGCCUGCUCGGGCAGAGGGGGUUUCAAAGUGAAUUUUGGAUUAUCUCCAGUUAAGGAUGGUGUUUGAUCCUCACAACUUGAAGGUAAUUAAUUUCAGGGGAUGUAUGUUGCUCCUUUCCCCCCUGCAGAGGCAGAUUGAGAAAUGCUGCUUUUCAAAGACGGGUGCUUCUUAAAGAAAUUGAGCUCCCAUCCCCUUUAGGUUUGAGGUCCCUGAGUCUUUUGAGCAGUUGGAAUUUUUAGGCCACAGGUCCCUUGUGGAAGCUUCCCAAUGGCCCUGUAUCCUCCUGAUCCUUAUGAGGAGGCAUUUCAUCCAUUGACCCUGCAGGUAGCUGAUUGAGUCUGAAAUAGCAGCCUCCCAGCCCAGCAGGGACCAGAGUAAAGGAACAUUUGCUGUAAUUUCUUUCCUCCUCCCCCUCUGAAAGAUUGUUAAUCAGGAACCUUUUGGAAACAAAAAAGGAAAGCAAGAAAAGGGAGACCUAGUUUGGUGAACCCAAUAGAAAACUACCACAUGGUCGAAGCUUCCCAAAACCCCUGGCGGCAAGGGGAUGUCAGUUGGUGAGUGGGCUGGGGCUGCAGAUGUCUCAAAAGCUCAGACACACUGAUGACAAGAGAUGCUUUUAGCACUUUUGGAGAGACCAAAGGACAUUUGAUGAUCAUCAUUAUGACCGUAAAUAAUUACGCAUUUGUAAUCAGAGCUGUGACCAUUUAUUGAGCAUCUACCAUGGGUCAGGUUCUGGGCCAAGUCAGGUGCAUCUCUUAAUUCUCUCAACAGCCCCUCGGCCUGGCUCAUUUUAUAGACAGGAGUCUGAGGCUCUCAAAUUUAACGUGAUCAAGAGCACACAGCCGAAAAAUGACAGGGUCAGGUGUAAGCUCUGCUGCCAGACCUUGUGCUGCACCCUCAAGCUGCCUUCUGUCCUUGCUGUCCCUGUCAAAAGCUACUCCAGUCCUGGCACAGUGACUCAUGCCUUUAAUCCCAGCACUUUGGGAAGCCGAGGUGGGCAGAUCAUCUGAGGCCCGGAUUUCAAGACCAACCUGGCCAACAUGGCGAAACCC
This 1442-nucleotide long non-coding RNA is filed under the name Macaca fascicularis (crab-eating macaque). RNAcentral describes it as "lncRNA (ENSMFAG00000063856.1)". The record is from RNAcentral. Lineage: Eukaryota; Metazoa; Chordata; Mammalia; Primates; Cercopithecidae.